This 253-nucleotide ribosomal RNA is filed under the name uncultured bacterium. Its description in RNAcentral is "partial 16S ribosomal RNA". It matches the Rfam family "Bacterial small subunit ribosomal RNA", at positions 524 to 776 of the family's 1533-position model. The record is from RNAcentral.
UACGUAGGGGGCGAGCGUUGUCCGGAUUUAUUGGGCGUAAAGAGCGUGUAGGCGGCCAGGUAGGUCUGCUGUGAAAACUCGAGGCUCAACCUCGAGACGUCGGCGGAAACCAUCUGGCUAGAGUCCGGAAGAGGAGAGUGGAAUUCCUGGUGUAGCGGUGAAAUGCGCAGAUAUCAGGAGGAACACCGAUUGCGAAGGCAGCUCGCUGGGACGUUACUGACGCUGAGACGCGAAAGCGUGGGGAGCAAACAGG